RNAcentral lists this ribosomal RNA (429 nucleotides) under uncultured bacterium. RNAcentral describes it as "bacterial SSU rRNA". It matches the Rfam family "Bacterial small subunit ribosomal RNA", at positions 29 to 506 of the family's 1533-position model. The record is from RNAcentral.
ACGAACGCUGGCGGCAGGCUUAACACAUGCAAGUCGAGCGCCCCGCAAGGGGAGCGGCAGACGGGUGAGUAACGCGUGGGAAUCUACCCAUCCCUACGGAACAACUCCGGGAAACUGGAGCUAAUACCGUAUACGCCCUUCGGGGGAAAGAUUUAUCGGGGAUGGAUGAGCCCGCGUUGGAUUAGCUAGUUGGUGGGGUAAUGGCCUUCCAAGGCGACGAUCCAUAGCUGGUCUGAGAGGAUGAUCAGCCACACUGGGACUGAGACACGGCCCAGACUCCUACGGGAGGCAGCAGUGGGGAAUAUUGGACAAUGGGCGAAAGCCUGAUCCAGCCAUGCCGCGUGAGUGAUGAAGGCCCUAGGGUUGUAAAGCUCUUUCACCGGUGAAGAUAAUGACGGUAACCGGAGAAGAAGCCCCGGCUAACUUCGU